UAUUAAAUGCGCGUUUAGGGGUGAUAGGCUUUUCAAACGUUCGUAUAACUUGUUUCAUAUGAAAAGUAUUUARUACCUAAACAAAUUUGAAAAGUUAAGCUUUUAAAUUAUUAUUAAAGAUAUUAUUCCCUUGUAGUGUAGUUUAAUAGCUAUCUACAUAGUAACUUAACAUUAAUUAUGUUAGUUUAUAUAUUAUAGUAUGACGCUAGCAAUUUUGUUAAUAAUUGAAAAUGUUAGUAUUAGUAAUAUUAGUAUAUGUGCUAAAGGAACUCGGCAAAAAACCGCUCAACUGUUUAUCAAAAACAUAGCUAUAUGAAUUAGUAUAUAGUUGUUUCUGCUCAAUGACUUAAAUAGCCGCAGUACUCUGACUGUGCAAAGGUAGCAUAAUCAGUUGGCUUUUAAUUAGAGUCUGGUAUGAACGAAAAUAUGGGUAGUAACUGUCUUAGCACAUUUCUUUGAACUUGUUAAACAAGUGCAAAUGCUUGUAAUUAAACAAUAGACGAGAAGACCCUAGAAACUUGGACAUGUUUUUGUUGGGGCGACAGAAUUACAUUUAACUAAUCUUCUAAUACAUGACGCGAUGCUGAAAGAAUAAGUUACUCUAGGGAUAACAGCAUAAUUUCAUUAGUUUGUGACCUCGAUGUUGGACUAGGUACUAUACCCUUAAGGCAAGGAUAUAUUGUGCUCUGUUCGAGCAAAAUUACCUACAUGAUCUGAGUUCAGACC
RNAcentral lists this ribosomal RNA (726 nucleotides) under Helix pomatia (Roman snail). Its description in RNAcentral is "partial 16S ribosomal RNA". The record is from RNAcentral. Lineage: Eukaryota; Metazoa; Mollusca; Gastropoda; Stylommatophora; Helicidae.